UACGUAGGCAGCGAGCGUUGUUCGGAGUUACUGGGCGUAAAGCGUGUGUAGGCGGUCAUGCAAGUCGGAUGUGAAAGCCCCGGGCUCAACCCGGGAAGUGCACUCGAUACUGCGUGACUUGAGUAUCGGAGAGGUUGGUGGAAUUCUCGGUGUAGAGGUGAAAUUCGUAGAUAUCGAGAGGAACACCGGCGGCGAAGGCGGCCAACUGGACGAAUACUGACGCUGAGACACGAAAGCGUGGGGAGCAAACAGG
This 253-nucleotide ribosomal RNA is filed under the name uncultured bacterium. Its description in RNAcentral is "partial 16S ribosomal RNA". It matches the Rfam family "Bacterial small subunit ribosomal RNA", at positions 524 to 776 of the family's 1533-position model. The record is from RNAcentral.